GGGGUUAUGGCUCAGCGGUAGAGCGCUCGCCUUGCACGUGUAAGGCCCUGGGUUCGAUUCUCAGCACCA
This is a non-coding RNA of Ictidomys tridecemlineatus (thirteen-lined ground squirrel), 69 nucleotides long. Lineage: Eukaryota; Metazoa; Chordata; Mammalia; Rodentia; Sciuridae. The record is from Rfam.